CGAAGCCGUGCAGGGAGGAGUUCGCGGCCUAUCAGGUAGUUGGUGGGGUAACGGCCGUACCAAGCCGACGACGGGUAGCUGGUCUGAGAGGAUGGUCAGCCACAUUGGAACUGAGAUACUGUCCAGACUCCUACGGGAGGCUGCAGUCGAGAAUCUUGGGCAAUGCACGAAAGUGUGACCCAGCGACGCCGCGUGAAGGAUGAAGGAGCUAUGCUUCGUAAACUUCUUUUAUGAGUGAAGAAAACCCUUUCGGGGGCUUGACAUUAGCUCAUGAAUAAGCCACGGCUAACUACGUGCCAGCAGCCGCGGUAAUACGUAGGUGGCAAGCGUUGUCCGGAUUUACUGGGCGUAAAGCGUGCGCAGGCGGACCCGUAAGUAGAAAGUGAAAGGCGGAAGCUCAACUUCCGGACUGCUUCCUAUACUGCUGGUCUUGAAUGUCGGAGAGGAAAGCGGAACGACACGUGUAGCGGUGAAAUGCGUUGAGAUGUGUCGGAACACCAAUGGCGAAAGCAGCUUUCUGGACGAAUAUUG
RNAcentral lists this ribosomal RNA (531 nucleotides) under uncultured bacterium. RNAcentral's name for it is "bacterial SSU rRNA". It matches the Rfam family "Bacterial small subunit ribosomal RNA", at positions 210 to 742 of the family's 1533-position model. The record is from RNAcentral.